CUAUCAUGUGUGUUGAGGGGGGAAGAUGUAAAAAGGCAAGCAUGGUGCAAUAUCUGUUGGUCUUUCUCUAAAGUCUGGAGCCACCGGCUGCUUCACUUGGAAACUGGUUCAUUUUGGUUUGUCCCCCUUAACAUUAUGCAUCUGCUGUCUUUUUCCCCUCAAACAGUGGAUGAAGGCAAUUUGUGGAAAGCAGUGAUGGAAACCUUCCAAGUACCAGGUUCCAUUUGUAGCAGAGCAAGUUACAUUUGAUGCCUUCCUCAUCCAUGAGCAGCGCCUGCCCUUAUGUUGUGCACUGGUUGUCCCCUUUCUGUAACUGAAUGGAUGUACUUUCAAAGAGCCAGUGCUUCACUUGUCCUCUGGUUCUAGGUUUACAGUGCUUAGAAGGAAGCCAUGAUGUUUCACACUGGUUCCCCACCUGCCGGAUACUCUCUGCAGAAGCUAGUGUCACCCUGGCCAAACACAGCCAUGCAGCAUACAGCAAGCAGGAUGGGGAUGCCUCCUUGUUUGACCUGGACACUCCCUUUGGAGGGCUAUCAAGAUCCAUUGCAGAUAUGAUGCUAAAAAGGGAGUCCUGUGGCCAGUAGGUCUGGAGGAACCACUUUAUAGUUUUGAAAAACUGACACACAAGGCAUCUUUGCUACAGGUUGCUGAAUGGUGCCUUAUCACCAACCAACCAAUUACAAACACUACUGUGUCACUAUGUCAGUCCCUUUAGCAAGAGCACAGAGCAGCCAGGACGUUCUAUGUCUCAUUGAGGAAUCCAGCAUAAAGGCCCCUUCUCUUUCUCCAAAGUUAAAAUAGAGAUGCCAACUUUUAGAAACACGAAGGUCAAGAUU
Molecule: long non-coding RNA, 836 nt
Organism: Podarcis raffonei (Aeolian wall lizard)
Lineage: Eukaryota; Metazoa; Chordata; Lepidosauria; Squamata; Lacertidae
Exons: 3
Source: RefSeq, a predicted model, not a curated record